Molecule: ribosomal RNA, 384 nt
Filed under: uncultured bacterium
Lineage: Bacteria
Description: bacterial SSU rRNA
Rfam family: Bacterial small subunit ribosomal RNA
Source: RNAcentral
AGUGGCGGACGGGUGAGUACACGUUGGAACCUGCCCCGAAGUGGGGAAUAACUGCUCGAAAGAGUAGCUAAUACCCCAUAGUAUCCGGUUUAUCCGGAUUAAAGAUUUAUCGCUUCGGGAGGGGCCUGCGUCUGAUUAGCUUGUUGGUGGGGUAAAAGCUCACCAAGGCGACGAUCAGUAGCUGGUUCGAGAGGAUGACCAGCCACACUGGGACUGAGAUACGGCCCAGACUCCUACGGGAGGCAGCAGUGAGGAAUCUUCCACAAUGGACGAAAGUCUGAUGGAGCAAUACCGCGUGCAGGACGACGCUUUUCGGAGUGUAAACUGCUUUUGUCGUCGAAGAUUAUGACUGUAGACGAAGAAUAAGGACCGGCUAACUACGUG